This 468-nucleotide ribosomal RNA is filed under the name uncultured bacterium. RNAcentral's name for it is "partial 16S ribosomal RNA". It matches the Rfam family "Bacterial small subunit ribosomal RNA", at positions 28 to 507 of the family's 1533-position model. The record is from RNAcentral.
GACGAACGCUGGCGGCGUGCUUAACACAUGCAAGUCGAACGGAAAGGCCCUGCUUUUGUGGGGUGCUCGAGUGGCGAACGGGUGAGUAACACGUGAGUAACCUGCCCUUGACUUUGGGAUAACUUCAGGAAACUGGGGCUAAUACCGGAUAGGAGCUCCUGCUGCAUGGUGGGGGUUGGAAAGUUUCGGCGGUUGGGGAUGGACUCGCGGCUUAUCAGCUUGUUGGUGGGGUAGUGGCUUACCAAGGCUUUGCCGGGUAGCCGGCCUGAGAGGGUGACCGGCCACAUUGCGACUGAGCUACGGCCCGGACUCCUACGGGAGGCAGCAGUGGGGAAUAUUGCACAAUGGGCGGAAGCCUGAUGCAGCAACGCCGCGUGCGGGAUGACGGCCUUCGGGUUGUAAACCGCUUUCGCCUGUGACGAAGCGUGAGUGACGGUAAUGGGUAAAGAAGCACCGGCUAACUACGUG